GGGCUUUGCUCAUUGUUGAAGGCCGUACAGUGACCUAUAGUUGUUGAUUUCUGUGUCAUUUUGGUCUCUUGUGGAGAGUUGUCUCAUUGGCAAUCAUACUACAUCUUCUUUUUUAUACAAUAUUCACACUUGAUACAGGUCUGAAUUUGGAUUGUUAUUUUAAAUAUUUGACACAUAAUAGGUUUCUGACACAGAAUAACUGUAGUCAAAGAACUUGAAUUUUCUUUUUUGCAAUACACUAUGCUGUUGCCAUUUGACCCCCCUCCCCC
RNAcentral lists this long non-coding RNA (269 nucleotides) under Mytilus galloprovincialis (Mediterranean mussel). Lineage: Eukaryota; Metazoa; Mollusca; Bivalvia; Mytilida; Mytilidae. The record is from RNAcentral.